AGAACGAACGCUGGCGGCGUGCCUAACACAUGCAAGUCCAACGUGAAAGGGGAGCAAUCCCCCGGUAGGGUGGCAAACGGGUGAGUAAUGCUUCGGAAUCUACCCACGGGCGGGGAAUAACCAACCGAAAGGUUGGCUAAUACCGCAUAAGUCCUACGGGGGAAAGCGGGGGAUCGAAAGACCUCGCGCCGGUGGAUGAGCCGAAGCCGGAUUAGCUAGUUGGUAGGGUAAUGGCCUACCAAGGCGACGAUCCGUAGCUGGUCUGAGAGGACGACCAGCCACACUGGGACUGAGACACGGCCCAGACUCCUACGGGCUGCAGC
This 323-nucleotide ribosomal RNA is filed under the name uncultured prokaryote. RNAcentral describes it as "bacterial SSU rRNA". It matches the Rfam family "Bacterial small subunit ribosomal RNA", at positions 26 to 352 of the family's 1533-position model. The record is from RNAcentral.